AUUGAACGCUGGCGGCAGGCCUAACACAUGCAAGUCGAACGAGCGGCGGACGGGUGAGUAAUGUAUGGGGACUGCCCGUUAGCGGGGGAUAACUACUGGAAACGGUAGCUAAUACCGCAUACUAUCGGAUAACCCAUAUGGGAUAAGCUAGUUGGUGAGGUAAUGGCUCACCAAGGCGACGAUCCCUAGCUGGUCUGAGAGGAUGAUCAGCCACCUGGGGACUGAGACACGGCCAAGACGCCUACGGAGGCAGCAGUGGGGAAUAUUGCACAAUGGGCGAAAGCAUGAUGCAGCCAUGCGGCGUGUAUGAAGAAGGCCCUAGGGUUGUAAAGUACUUUCAGUCGGGAGGCGUUACCGACAGAAGAAGCACCGGCUAACUCCGUGCCAGCAGCCGCGGUAAUAC
This 403-nucleotide ribosomal RNA is filed under the name uncultured bacterium. Its description in RNAcentral is "partial 16S ribosomal RNA". It matches the Rfam family "Bacterial small subunit ribosomal RNA", at positions 30 to 526 of the family's 1533-position model. The record is from RNAcentral.